AUGCAAGUCGAGCGCGCCCUUCGGGGUGAGCGGCGGACGGGUUAGUAACGCGUGGGAAUAUGCCCAAAGGUACGGAAUAGCCUCUGGAAACGGAGAGUAAUACCGUAUGUGCCCUUCGGGGGAAAGAUUUAUCGCCUUUGGAUUAGCCCGCGUUAGAUUAGGUAGUUGGUGGGGUAAUGGCCUACCAAGCCUACGAUCUAUAGCUGGUUUUAGAGGAUGAUCAGCAACACUGGGACUGAGACACGGCCCAGACUCCUACGGGAGGCAGCAGUGGGGAAUCUUGGACAAUGGGCGCAAGCCUGAUCCAGCCAUGCCGCGUGAGUGAUGAAGGCCUUAGGGUCGUAAAGCUCUUUCGCCAGGGAUGAUAAUGACAGUACCUGGUAAAGAAACCCCGGCUAACUCCGUGCCAGCAGCCGCGGUAAUACGGAGGGGGUUAGCGUUGUUCGGAAUUACUGGGCGUAAAGCGCGCGUAGGCGGAUCGGAAAGUUGGGGGUGAAAUCCCGGGGCUCAACCCCGGAACUGGCUCCAAAACUAUCGGUCUAGAGUUCGAGAGAGGUGAGUGGAAUUCCGAGUGUAGAGGUGAAAUUCGU
This 590-nucleotide ribosomal RNA is filed under the name uncultured bacterium. Its description in RNAcentral is "bacterial SSU rRNA". It matches the Rfam family "Bacterial small subunit ribosomal RNA", at positions 55 to 691 of the family's 1533-position model. The record is from RNAcentral.